Molecule: long non-coding RNA, 605 nt
Filed under: Pan troglodytes (chimpanzee)
Lineage: Eukaryota; Metazoa; Chordata; Mammalia; Primates; Hominidae
Description: lincRNA
Source: RNAcentral
AAACUCACUGCCAGUGGGAAGAAAGCUUCAGAAUGCAGAAAAGCUACCCAGCCUCCAUGCCAGAUGAAUCUGAGAAUCAGGAAAACUGGGGUCAAAAACCACUUAACGGGAGCCCAACUCCCAAGGAGCUCUUAGGAGACAAGGAGGAGUCAAGCCCUGGAUUCCAGACAUUAUCUGAUUCCUUCCAAGCACGAUCCCCAGACCCCAGAUGCCAGGCCACCCACAGAGCCCUGACGUCCUCCUGUGGACACCCUCCCAGGGAGAUGCCCAUAUUCCCCCAGGGAUAAAGUCGCUUGGAUACCACAGAUGCUGCGGCCACACGGUGAUGCUGGAGACUGGAUGGAACUAUAAAACAUCAAGUUGCCUUUGAGAAGCUCUAGGGUCUGCAGCCCCAGCACCUGCACCUAGGCCAACUGACUCUCUUCCCAAAGUCAUCCACACCUGGGGAUGAGCUUGCCCACAUCCUGCAGAGGAAAAGCCAACUUUUGUCAAGAAUCAGAAUGCACCAGCCUUGCCUUUGGAGCCACCUACAUCGACUUCCUGAACCAUGCCUUGCUGAGGGCUUGUUUCUGUGGAGCCAGCCUCUUCUCCCUGCCUUAGGGAAC